This is a long non-coding RNA of Polyodon spathula (Mississippi paddlefish), 154 nucleotides long. RefSeq lists it as uncharacterized. NCBI's taxonomy places the organism in Eukaryota, Metazoa, Chordata, Actinopteri, Acipenseriformes, Polyodontidae. The transcript is spliced from 2 exons. The record is from RefSeq and is a predicted model, not a curated record.
CCUUCCCAUAAUACCAUGUUGGGAAGCUCUGGUCGCCAGUUGAUCAGUAACUGGUGGCAUGUUUGAUCCAGACAGAUCUCCUCCACUGGCAUUGUGGUCUUUUGAAGAAUGCUGGCCUGGGAGUCAAAUUUCAGAAAAUAUAUGUCUGUUUCUU